UAGGUUUGACAUGGACGUGGUACCCGGGGCGAAAGCUUUGGGGACCCGCAAGGGAGCGUUCACAGGUGCUGCAUGGCUGUCGUCAGCUCGUGUCGUGAGAUGUUCGGUUAAGUCCGGCAACGAGCGCAACCCUCGCCUCCAGUUACCAGCGAGUAAAGUCGGGGACUCUGGAGGGACUAACCCGUUAGGGUGGGAAGGUGGGGAUGACGUCAAGUCAGUAUGGCCCUUACAUCUAGGGCUGCACACGUGCUACAAUGCCUGGUACAAAAGGAACCAAUACCGCGAGGUGGAGGAAAUCCCUAAAGCCAGGCCCAGUUCAGAUUGGAGUCUGCAACUCGACUCCAUGAAGCCGGAAUCGCUAGUAAUGGAGAUCAGUACGCACCGGA
This 386-nucleotide ribosomal RNA is filed under the name uncultured bacterium. RNAcentral describes it as "bacterial SSU rRNA". It matches the Rfam family "Bacterial small subunit ribosomal RNA", at positions 976 to 1365 of the family's 1533-position model. The record is from RNAcentral.